AUGGAAUGAAUCAAGAGCUAUUUGAAGGAGGUACAGCUCCUUUAAAAAAGAACACAAUCUCCCCCAGCGGAUAACUACUCACAAUACCCCCCCCCCCAUUGUGGGCCUUCAAGCAGCCACCAACAAAGAGUGCGUCAAAGCUCACCAUCAAAAAAUCUAUGAAACACUACGACUCCCUACCCUCCCCCAGCAGGCCAACCUAUGACAAUAGGAGAAUUAAUGCUAAAAUGAGUAACUAGGGACUACCCUCUCAGGCGCAAGCUUACACAACCACGUUAUUAACAGACCAGCUAAUAUCCUAAACCUCAACAAGAAUCCAUAUUAAAAUACCCUGUUAACCCAACCCAGGAGCGCCUACCAGAAAGAUUAAAAUCUGCAAAAGGAACUCGGCAACCACAAGGCCCGACUGUUUACCAAAAACAUAGCCUUCAGCAAAACAAGUAUUGAAGGUGAUGCCUGCCCAGUGACAUACGUUUAACGGCCGCGGUAUCCUAACCGUGCGAAGGUAGCGCAAUCAAUUGUCCCAUAAAUCGAGACUUGUAUGAAUGGCUAAACGAGGCCUUAACUGUCUCUUGCAGAUAAUCAGUGAAAUUGAUCUUCCUGUGCAAAAGCCGGAAUAACAACAUAAGACGAGAAGACCCUGUGGAACUUAAAAAUCAGCGGCCACCCCACACAACCCCAAACCUAAUAGGUCCACCCACCCCAAGCACUGGCCCGCAUUUUUCGGUUGGGGCGACCUUGGAGAAAAACAAAUCCUCCAAAAAUAAGACCACCCCUCUUAACCGAGGACAACUACCCAAAGUACUAACAGUAACCAGACCCAAUACAAUUGAUUAAUGGACCAAGCUACCCCAGGGAUAACAGCGCAAUCCCCUCCAAGAGCCCAUAUCGACGAGGGGGUUUACGACCUCGAUGUUGGAUCAGGACAUCCUAAUGGUGCAGCCGCUAUUAAGGGUUCGUUUGUUCAACGAUUAAUAGUCCUACGUGAUCUGAGUUCAGACCGGAGCAAUCCAGGUCGGUUUCUAUCUAUGAUAAGCUCCCCCUAGUACGAAAGGACCGGGGAAGCGAGGCCAAUACUACAAGCAUGCCUUCCCUCUAAACAAUGAACUCAACUAAACUGUCAAGAGGUAACCCACCCACCCAUCCUAGAAAAGGACCGCUAGCGUGGCAGAGCUCGGCAAAUGCAA
Molecule: ribosomal RNA, 1187 nt
Filed under: Podiceps auritus
Lineage: Eukaryota; Metazoa; Chordata; Aves; Podicipediformes; Podicipedidae
Description: partial 16S ribosomal RNA
Rfam family: Bacterial large subunit ribosomal RNA
Source: RNAcentral